Molecule: long non-coding RNA, 68 nt
Organism: Etheostoma spectabile (orangethroat darter)
Lineage: Eukaryota; Metazoa; Chordata; Actinopteri; Perciformes; Percidae
Exons: 3
Source: RefSeq, a predicted model, not a curated record
ACCUUAAUGAACAGUGUGAAAUACGCUAUAUAACCAUUCUAUCACCCCUUUAAAUGUUUUCAAGGCUU